RNAcentral lists this long non-coding RNA (206 nucleotides) under Mytilus galloprovincialis (Mediterranean mussel). Lineage: Eukaryota; Metazoa; Mollusca; Bivalvia; Mytilida; Mytilidae. The record is from RNAcentral.
GGGCAUUUAAAUAAUUUUUUUUCCAUAUGGUAAUUGAUAUAAUCAAUUGGCAAUCAUACCACAUAUUCUUAUUCUUGUACUGAAAGUACAGUUUCCUGGCUACUGGGUUUUUGAUUUCAUAGGCGACUAACUGCUCACCAUUUACUAUACCAGUAUUGAAGUCGCGAAAAUGCACACUUCCUCUCUCAACACAUUGUCAAACUGAU